AACGAACGCUGGCGGCAGGCUUAACACAUGCAAGUCGAACGCCCCGCAAGGGGAGUGGCAGACGGGUGAGUAACGCGUGGGAAUCUACCCAACCCUGCGGAAUUGCUCUGGGAAACUGGAAUUAAUACCGCAUACGCCCUACGGGGGAAAGAUUUAUCGGGGAUGGAUGAGCCCGCGUUGGAUUAGCUAGUUGGUGGGGUAAAGGCCUACCAAGGCGACGAUCCAUAGCUGGUCUGAGAGGAUGAUCAGCCACAUUGGGACUGAGACACGGCCCAAACUCCUACGGGAGGCAGCAGUGGGGAAUAUUGGACAAUGGGCGCAAGCCUGAUCCAGCCAUGCCGCGUGAGUGAUGAAGGCCUUAGGGUUGUAAAGCUCUUUCACCGGUGAAGAUAA
This 393-nucleotide ribosomal RNA is filed under the name uncultured bacterium. RNAcentral describes it as "bacterial SSU rRNA". It matches the Rfam family "Bacterial small subunit ribosomal RNA", at positions 29 to 451 of the family's 1533-position model. The record is from RNAcentral.